RNAcentral lists this ribosomal RNA (301 nucleotides) under Strombidinopsis acuminata. RNAcentral describes it as "partial Bacterial small subunit ribosomal RNA". It matches the Rfam family "Bacterial small subunit ribosomal RNA", at positions 511 to 811 of the family's 1533-position model. Lineage: Eukaryota; Ciliophora; Spirotrichea; Choreotrichida; Strombidinopsidae. The record is from RNAcentral.
GCAGCCGCGGUAAUACGGAGGGGGCAAGCGUUAUUCGGAAUUACUGGGCGUAAAGGGCGCGUAGGCGGCGCAUUAAGUGAGAAGUGAAAGCCCACGGCUUAACCGUGGAAUUGCUUCUCAUACUGGUGUGCUAGAGUAUGGGAGAGGAAAGUGGAAUUCCCGGUGUAGCGGUGAAAUGCGUAGAGAUCGGGAGGAACACCAGUGGCGAAGGCGACUUUCUGGACCAUUACUGACGCUGAUGCGCGAAAGCGUGGGUAGCAAACAGGAUUAGAUACCCUGGCAGUCCACGCCGUAAACGAUG